Molecule: long non-coding RNA, 271 nt
Organism: Scophthalmus maximus (turbot)
Lineage: Eukaryota; Metazoa; Chordata; Actinopteri; Pleuronectiformes; Scophthalmidae
Exons: 3
Source: RefSeq, a predicted model, not a curated record
GGAGCAGUCGGAGGAACAGUCGGAGGAGUCGGAGGAGCAUUACUAGGAGCAGUAUUAGGAGCAGUAUUUGGAUACAAUAUGGAGGAUCUGAUGAAGGACCUGAGGGAGAUUGUAGAUGACCAUUUGAGGAAGCGCGUGGAAGACGACAGAGCAACAGCAGUCGGAGGAGCAGUCGUUGGAGCAGUCGUUGGAGCAGUCGAAGGAGCAGUCGGAGGAGCAGUCGGAGGAGCAGUCGGAGGAGCAGUCGGAGGAGCAGUCGUAGGAGCAGUCG